UACAGGGGGGGCAAGCGUUGUUCGGAAUUACUGGGCGUAAAGGGUUCGUAGGUGGCUUGCUAAGUCAGACGUGAAAUCCCUCAGCUUAACUGGGGAACUGCGUCUGAGACUGGCGAGCUUGAGGGUAGGAGAGGAAUGCGGAAUUCCAGGUGUAGCGGUGAAAUGCGUAGAUAUCUGGAGGAACACCGGUGGCGAAGGCGGCAUUCUGGACUACAUCUGACACUGAAGAACGAAAGCCAGGGGAGCAAACGGG
RNAcentral lists this ribosomal RNA (253 nucleotides) under uncultured bacterium. RNAcentral's name for it is "partial 16S ribosomal RNA". It matches the Rfam family "Bacterial small subunit ribosomal RNA", at positions 524 to 776 of the family's 1533-position model. RNAcentral also lists the same sequence under 1 other name. The record is from RNAcentral.